This 291-nucleotide unclassified non-coding RNA is filed under the name Absidia glauca. Its description in RNAcentral is "sequence contains 5.8S rRNA gene". The stretch from base 1 to 53 matches the Rfam family "5.8S ribosomal RNA", at positions 102 to 154 of the family's 154-position model. The record is from RNAcentral. Lineage: Eukaryota; Fungi; Mucoromycota; Mucoromycetes; Mucorales; Cunninghamellaceae.
GAACGCAUCUUGCACCCUUUGGUAUUCCAAAGGGUACGCCUGUUUCAGUAUCAUUAUAACCUUUCUCCCCAAGGCUUUUUGGCCAAGGAGGGAAAGAGCAUAACCGGUGGCCCAGCGGUCUCCCAUCAGGGGGAUUGUCUCGGCUGGAAUGACUGUUGCAAUGGUGGGCCAAAUGGUCUUCCGCACUUGAUAAAUGUACUUUUAUAAAGAGCGGGGCCGGUCUGCCGAAAGUUGUAACUAAACCCUUUACCUUUGAUCUGAAAUCAGGCGGGAUUACCCGCUGAACUUAAG